GGGUCGGUACCGAAGUGGCCAACCGGGGCAGACUGUAAAUCUGCUGGCUUAACGCCUUCGCUGGUUCGAAUCCAGCCCGGCCCACCA
RNAcentral lists this transfer RNA (87 nucleotides) under Roseiflexus castenholzii. Its description in RNAcentral is "tRNA-Tyr". It matches the Rfam family "tRNA". Rfam says of the family: Transfer RNA (tRNA) molecules are approximately 80 nucleotides in length. Their secondary structure includes four short double-helical elements and three loops (D, anti-codon, and T loops). The record is from RNAcentral. RNAcentral also lists the same sequence under 6 other names. Lineage: Bacteria; Bacillati; Chloroflexota; Chloroflexia; Chloroflexales; Roseiflexaceae.